Molecule: ribosomal RNA, 957 nt
Filed under: Triticum aestivum (bread wheat)
Lineage: Eukaryota; Viridiplantae; Streptophyta; Magnoliopsida; Poales; Poaceae
Description: partial small subunit ribosomal RNA
Source: RNAcentral
AUGAGCCAGCAAAUCCCGUCAGCAGGUGUUGGUGGCUCAAGCACUGCCUCAGUAGCAGCACCUGCACUCCCUCAAGUUGAUUCGGAUGACCCUGCGUGGAAGUAUUGCCCUCUUCCAGAUGUGAACAAGAAGCAUUGGCAGCGAUGCAACUUUUGUGGCAAGAUAUGCACAGCUGGCAUUACAAGGAUAAAGUUUCACCUUUCACAAAUAACGAAUUGUGGUGUCUUACCAUGCAAGAAGGUUCCUAGUGAUGUCAGGCUGGAGAUGAUAGCUUUGCUCCUAAAGAGUGCUGAGCUGAAGGAAAAAAAGAUCGAGGGAUUGGAGGCGCUCAGAUCUAGUGUUGACUUAGAUCACUCCGAUGGAGAACAAGGAACUGAUGAAGAAGAUGGCAAUCAGGUUGUGAUUUUGAGGCCAAAACCAGGCACAAGCAGCUCAAUGGGUGGCCCUAUGGACAAAUUCUGCAAGCCUAGUAUAGAAGAAACUGUCAAGAGGAAGCAAAAAAGAAAUUGUGAAUACGAAAAGGUUCAGUCGAAGUUGUCAACUCAGGAAAGACAACAGAGGAGGGAUAGAGCUUGUGGAUAUAUAUGUCAAUUUUUCUAUGAAGCUAGCAUCCCACAUAACACUGUCACACUUCCUAGCUUUGCAUGUAUGCUUCAGGCCAUUGGAGAUGUUGGCACAAACUUCGAUGGGCCUACUGCAUAUGAGAUGAGUGGACCAUUCUUGCAGAAAAGGAAGAAGAAGGUGUUAGAUUCAUUCAAACCACAUAAGCAAGCAUGGGAGCACACAGGUUGUACCGUAAUGACAGAUGCAUGGACAGAUAAAAAGGGCAGGGGGGUAAUGAACCUAGUUGUGCAUAGUUCUCAAGGAGUCAUAUUCUUGAAUUCAGUUGAUUGUUCAUCUGUCCAAAAAAUGGCAAAUACAUCUUUGACCUCGUUGAUAAUUGCAUUGAAGAUAUAG